This 301-nucleotide ribosomal RNA is filed under the name uncultured bacterium. Its description in RNAcentral is "partial 16S ribosomal RNA". It matches the Rfam family "Bacterial small subunit ribosomal RNA", at positions 509 to 807 of the family's 1533-position model. The record is from RNAcentral.
CAGCCGCCGCGGUAAUACGAAGGGGGCUAGCGUUGCUCGGAAUCACUGGGCGUAAAGGGUGCGUAGGCGGGUCUUUAAGUCAGGGGUGAAAUCCUGGAGCUCAACUCCAGAACUGCCUUUGAUACUGAAGAUCUUGAGUUCGGGAGAGGUGAGUGGAACUGCGAGUGUAGAGGUGAAAUUCGUAGAUAUUCGCAAGAACACCAGUGGCGAAGGCGGCUCACUGGCCCGAUACUGACGCUGAGAGACGAAAGCUAGGGGAGCAAAUGGGAUUAGAUACCCGCGUAGUCCCUGUCUCUUAUAC